This 517-nucleotide ribosomal RNA is filed under the name uncultured bacterium. RNAcentral's name for it is "bacterial SSU rRNA". It matches the Rfam family "Bacterial small subunit ribosomal RNA", at positions 8 to 518 of the family's 1533-position model. The record is from RNAcentral.
AGAGUUGAUCAUGGCUCAGGAUGAACGCUAGCGACAGGCUAACACAUGCAAGUCGAGGGGCAUCACGGGAGUAGCAAUACAACUGGUGGCGACCGGCGCACGGGUGAGUAACGCGUAUGCAACCUACCUAUCAGAGGGGAAUAACCCGGCGAAAGUCGGACUAAUACCGCAUAAAACAGGGGCACCGCAUGGUGAUAUUUGUUAAAGAAAUUCGCUGAUAGAUGGGCAUGCGUUCCAUUAGGUAGUUGGUGAGGUAACGGCUCACCAAGCCGACGAUGGAUAGGGGAACUGAGAGGUUGGUCCCCCACACUGGUACUGAGACACGGACCAGACUCCUACGGGAGGCAGCAGUGAGGAACAUUGGUCAAUGGGCGGGAGCCUGAACCAGCCAAGUCGCGUGAAGGAAGAAGGAUCUAUGGUUCGUAAACUUCUUUUGCAGGGGAAUAAAGUGCAGGACGUGUCCUGUUUUGUAUGUACCCUGAGAAUAAGGAUCGGCUAACUCCGUGCCAGCCGCAGC